Molecule: ribosomal RNA, 291 nt
Filed under: uncultured bacterium
Lineage: Bacteria
Description: partial 16S ribosomal RNA
Rfam family: Bacterial small subunit ribosomal RNA
Source: RNAcentral
UAAUACGUAGGGUGCGAGCGUUAAUCGGAAUUACUGGGCGUAAAGCGUGCGCAGGCGGUUCGUCGUGUCUGAUGUGAAAGCCCCGGGCUCAACCUGGGAAUGGCAUUGGAAACUGGCGGACUAGAGUGUGGCAGAGGGGGGUGGAAUUCCGCGUGUAGCAGUGAAAUGCGUAGAGAUGCGGAGGAACACCGAUGGCGAAGGCAGCCCCCUGGGCUAACACUGACGCUCAGGCACGAAAGCGUGGGGAGCAAACAGGAUUAGAUACCCUGGUAGUCCACGCCCUAAACCAUG